ACCGUCGUGGCACAAUUGGUUUAGCGCGCUCGGCUUUUAUCGUAUAAAUACGUAUUUAAACCGAGAGGUUCGGGGUUCGAGCCCCCGCGAUGGUG
Molecule: non-coding RNA, 95 nt
Organism: Cryphonectria parasitica EP155
Lineage: Eukaryota; Fungi; Ascomycota; Sordariomycetes; Diaporthales; Cryphonectriaceae
Source: the annotation of a RefSeq genome assembly